GACGAACGCUGGCGGCGUGCCUAAUACAUGCAAGUGGGACGCAAGGGAACACACUGUGCUUGCACACCGUGUUUUCUUGAGUCGCGAACGGGUGAGUAACGCGUAGGUAACCUGCCUAUUAGCGGGGGAUAACUAUUGGAAACGAUAGCUAAUACCGCAUAAUAUUAAUUAUUGCAUGAUAAUUGAUUGAAAGAUGCAAGCGCAUCACUAGUAGAUGGACCUGCGUUGUAUUAGCUAGUUGGUAAGGUAAGAGCUUACCAAGGCGACGAUACAUAGCCGACCUGAGAGGGUGAUCGGCCACACUGGGACUGAGACACGGCCCAGACUCCUACGGGAGGCAGCAGUAGGGAAUCUUCGGCAAUGGACGAAAGUCUGACCGAGCAACGCCGCGUGAGUGAAGAAGGUUUUCGGACCGUAAAGCUCUGUUGUAAGUCAAGAACGUGUGUGAGAGUGGAAAGUUCACACAGUGACGGAGCUACCAGAAAG
RNAcentral lists this ribosomal RNA (486 nucleotides) under Streptococcus mutans. RNAcentral describes it as "bacterial SSU rRNA". It matches the Rfam family "Bacterial small subunit ribosomal RNA", at positions 28 to 490 of the family's 1533-position model. The record is from RNAcentral. Lineage: Bacteria; Bacillati; Bacillota; Bacilli; Lactobacillales; Streptococcaceae.